This 622-nucleotide long non-coding RNA is filed under the name Cricetulus griseus (Chinese hamster). Its description in RNAcentral is "lncRNA (ENSCGRG00015033234.1)". The record is from RNAcentral. Lineage: Eukaryota; Metazoa; Chordata; Mammalia; Rodentia; Cricetidae.
GUUUGAAAAUCGCUGUAAUUAUGGUAAUGUCAGAUGAGUCAGCUACUGGGCAGCCCUGCUCUGCCCUGGCCAUCUCCUCUAGCCUUAAGAGCCUCAGCACCUGGGGCUUCAAAACAUCGAGAACCAGAAGAAAAGAGAGCCCUCCUCCACCCUGCCCUGCCCUGGGAGGGAAGUGAAGUCACCCCGGGAGUUCCAAGAACAGCUUCAAAAGGAGCUGCCAAUCGCUGUGGCUGCCACAAGGAAGGGACAGUUGCAGGGACAUAGCUAACCGGGGAAGGGGCUUCUGUGGAAUAUCAGGAACCCGGAAAGUCUGCAUCAGAAGGAAGCUCCCACAGGCUAACUGACUGUGAUCCUCCCCCCUGGCCAGCCAACUCUCAGGAUGAUGGGAUUCUGAACUGAGCACGAUGACCCAUACCUGUAAUCCCAGCACUCAGGAAGUUGAGGCCAGAGGAUUUUCAUGAGCUGGAGGCCAGCCUGGGAUACAUAUGGAGGCUGCUCUAUGCUACAGAGACCUUGAUACAAUCAAAUAAAGCAAAGCAAAUGAGCCCCACUGAGCUCUUCUUAGGAAGUCCCUGUGAUUUGGACCCCAGUACCACAUGGGUCCCUGUUUUCCCGUCUGCUG